AAACCUUGAUGAUGAGUUGCAUGUGAGUCCGUGUUUCACCUGAAACUCAUGAUUAUUCUUUCACUGCACUGAUGGGUUU
Molecule: small nucleolar RNA, 79 nt
Filed under: Mola mola (ocean sunfish)
Lineage: Eukaryota; Metazoa; Chordata; Actinopteri; Tetraodontiformes; Molidae
Description: Small nucleolar RNA SNORD126 (ENSMMOG00000019571.1)
Source: RNAcentral